Molecule: ribosomal RNA, 406 nt
Filed under: uncultured bacterium
Lineage: Bacteria
Description: partial 16S ribosomal RNA
Rfam family: Bacterial small subunit ribosomal RNA
Source: RNAcentral
AUUGAACGCUGGCGGCAGGCCUAACACAUGCAAGUCGAACGAGUGGCGGACGGGUGAGUAAUGUCUGGGAAACUGCCCGAUGUAGGGGGAUAACUACUGGAAACGGUAGCUAAUACCGCAUACCCUCAGAUGUGCCCAGAUGGGAUUAGCUAGGUGGGGGGGUAACGGCUCACCGAGGCGACGAUCCCUAGAGGGUCUGAGAGGAUGACCAGCCACACUGUAACUGGGACCCGGUCCAGACUCCUACGGGAGGAAGCAGUGGGUAAUAUUGCACAAUGGGCUGAAGCCUGAUGCAGCCAUGCCGCGUGUAUGAAGAAGGCUUUCGGGUUGUAAAGUACUUUCAGCGAGGAGGCGUUACUCGCAGAAGAAGCACCGGCUAACUCCGUGCCAGCAGCCGCGGUAAUAC